This 253-nucleotide ribosomal RNA is filed under the name uncultured bacterium. RNAcentral describes it as "partial 16S ribosomal RNA". It matches the Rfam family "Bacterial small subunit ribosomal RNA", at positions 524 to 776 of the family's 1533-position model. The record is from RNAcentral.
AACGUAGGAGGCGAGCGUUAUCCGGAUUUACUGGGCGUAAAGCGCAUGCAGGUGGUCUUGCAAGUGGGAUGUGAAAGCCCCUGGCUUAACUGGGGGAGGUCGUUCCAGACUGCGAGGCUGGAGGUCGGGAGAGGAAAGCGGAAUUCCCGGUGUAGUGGUGGAAUGCGUAGAUAUCGGGAGGAACACCAGUGGCGAAAGCGGCUUUCUGGCCCGCACCUGACACUAAGAUGCGAAAGCGUGGGGAGCGAACGGG